Molecule: ribosomal RNA, 610 nt
Filed under: uncultured bacterium
Lineage: Bacteria
Description: bacterial SSU rRNA
Rfam family: Bacterial small subunit ribosomal RNA (bases 1-519)
Source: RNAcentral
CCUACGGGAGGCAGCAGUGGGGAAUCUUGCGCAAUGGGCGAAAGCCUGACGCAGCCAUGCCGCGUGAAUGAUGAAGGUCUUAGGAUUGUAAAAUUCUUUUCACCGGGGACGAUAAUGACGGUACCCGGAGAAGAAGCCCCGGCUAACUUCGUGCCAGCAGCCGCGGUAAUACGAAGGGGGCUAGCGUUGCUCGGAAUUACUGGGCGUAAAGGGAGCGUAGGCGGAUAGUUUAGUCAGAGGUGAAAGCCCAGGGCUCAACCUUGGAAUUGCCUUUGAUACUGGCUAUCUUGAGUAUGGGAGAGGUUAGCGGAACUCCGAGUGUAGAGGUGAAAUUCGUAGAUAUUCGGAAGAACACCAGUGGCGAAGGCGGCUAACUGGCCCAUUACUGACGCUGAGGCUCGAAAGCGUGGGGAGCAAACAGGAUUAGAUACCCUGGUAGUCCACGCCGUAAACGAUGAGUGCUAGUUGUCGGCAUGCAUGCAUGUCGGUGACGCGAGCUACGACAUAAGACACUCCGCCGUCGGGAGGUACGGUCGCGAGAGUAAACGUAACUAAUAGUUAAGUUAGUACGGCGUUGAGACGNGCCGACGGACGACGACGAGGGAGGAGG